RNAcentral lists this unclassified non-coding RNA (303 nucleotides) under Streptomyces durmitorensis. RNAcentral's name for it is "partial miscellaneous RNA". The record is from RNAcentral. Lineage: Bacteria; Bacillati; Actinomycetota; Actinomycetes; Kitasatosporales; Streptomycetaceae.
AAGGAGCAUCUAGACUGCCAAGCUUGCUUGGUGGUCCAAGAGCCAUAACGUCGGCAAAUGUUCGACGGUGGUUAGCUCAUGGGUGGAACGUUGACUAUUCGGCACGAUCGGUUAGGGACUGUAAGUACCGCUUCGGCGUGGAAAACAGGUUCUUGAUUGGUCGGGCCGGGCACGCUGUUGGGUAUCUGAGGGUACGGACUUGUUCCCGACCUCAAUGCCGACCCCGGUGAAGCAUCCUGGUAAGGGUGUGUGACGGGUGGUUGGUCGUUGUUUGAGAACUGCACAGUGGACGCGAGCAUCUGU